Molecule: ribosomal RNA, 492 nt
Filed under: uncultured bacterium
Lineage: Bacteria
Description: partial 16S ribosomal RNA
Rfam family: Bacterial small subunit ribosomal RNA
Source: RNAcentral
AGUGAACGCUGGCGGUAGGCCUAACACAUGCAAGUCGAACGGCAGCACAGUAAGAGCUUGCUCUUACGGGUGGCGAGUGGCGGACGGGUGAGGAAUACAUCGGAAUCUACUUUUUCGUGGGGGAUAACGUAGGGAAACUUACGCUAAUACCGCAUACGACCUACGGGUGAAAGCAGGGGAUCUUCGGACCUUGCGCGAUUGAAUGAGCCGAUGUCGGAUUAGCUAGUUGGCGGGGUAAAGGCCCACCAAGGCGACGAUCCGUAGCUGGUCUGAGAGGAUGAUCAGCCACACUGGAACUGAGACACGGUCCAGACUCCUGCGGGAGGCAGCAGUGGGGAAUAUUGGACAAUGGGCGCAAGCAUGAUACAGCCAUACCGCGUGGGUGAAGAAGGCCUUCGGGUCGUAAAGCCGUUUUGUUGGGAAAGAAAAGCAGCAGGUUAAUACCCCGCUGUUCUGACGGUACCCAAAGAAUAAGCACCGGCUAACUUCGUG